RNAcentral lists this ribosomal RNA (254 nucleotides) under uncultured bacterium. Its description in RNAcentral is "partial 16S ribosomal RNA". It matches the Rfam family "Bacterial small subunit ribosomal RNA", at positions 524 to 777 of the family's 1533-position model. The record is from RNAcentral.
UACGGGGGGUGCGAGCGUUGUCCGGAAUCACUGGGCGUAAAGGGCGCGUAGGUGGUUUGAUAAGGGUGUGGUGAAAGUCCGGGGCUCAACUCCGGAUCUGCCGUGCCGACUGUCAAACUCGAGGGCUGUAGAGGCAGACGGAAUUCCGGGUGUAGCGGUGGAAUGCGUAGAGAUCCGGAGGAAGACCGGUGGCGAAGGCGGUCUGCUGGGCAGUUUCUGACACUGAGGCGCGACAGCGUGGGGAGCAAACAGGG